Molecule: ribosomal RNA, 464 nt
Filed under: uncultured bacterium
Lineage: Bacteria
Description: partial 16S ribosomal RNA
Rfam family: Bacterial small subunit ribosomal RNA
Source: RNAcentral
ACGAACGCUGGCGGCGUGCUUAACACCUGCAAGUCGCACGGAAAGGCCCUGCUUGCAGGGUACUCGAGUGGCGAACGGGUGAGUAACACGUGGGUGAUCUGCCCUGCACUUCGGGAUAAGCCUGGGAAACUGGGUCUAAUACCGGAUAGGAGCCAUUUUUAGUGUGAUGGUUGGAAAGUUUUUUCGGUGUAGGAUGAGCUCGCGGCCUAUCAGCUUGUUGGUGGGGUAAUGGCCUACCAAGGCGGCGACGGGUAGCCGGCCUGAGAGGGUGGACGGCCACAUUGGGACUGAGAUACGGCCCAGACUCCUACGGGAGGCAGCAGUGGGGAAUAUUGCACAAUGGGCGCAAGCCUGAUGCAGCGACGCCGCGUGGGGGAGGACGGCCUUCGGGUUGUAAACUCCUUUCGCUAGGGACGAAGCUUUUUGUGACGGUACCUAGAUAAGAAGCACCGGCUAACUACGUG